GACGAACGCUGGCGGCGUGCUUAACACAUGCAAGUCGAACGAUGAAGCCGGAGCUUGCUCCGGUGGAUUAGUGGCGAACGGGUGAGUAACACGUGAGCAAUCUGACCUUGACUCUGGGAUAACUGCGGGAAACUGUAGCUAAUACCGGAUACGACACCUUGGGGCAUCCCAGGGUGUGGAAAGAAUUUCGGUCAAGGAUGAGCUCGCGGCCUAUCAGAUAGUUGGUGAGGUAAUGGCUCACCAAGGCGAGGACGUGUAGCCGCCCUGAGAGGGUGGCCGACCACACUGGAAAUGCGACACGGUCCAGACUCCUACCGGAGGCAGCAGUGGGGAAUAUUGCUCAAUGGGCGAAAGCCUGAUGCAGCAGCGCCGCGUGGGGGAUGAAGGCCUUCGGGUUGUACACCUCUUUUAGCAGGGAAGAAGCGAAAGUGACGGUACCUGCAGAAAAAGCACCGGCUAACUACGUGCCAGCCGCCGCGGUAA
RNAcentral lists this ribosomal RNA (483 nucleotides) under uncultured bacterium. RNAcentral describes it as "partial 16S ribosomal RNA". It matches the Rfam family "Bacterial small subunit ribosomal RNA", at positions 28 to 523 of the family's 1533-position model. The record is from RNAcentral.